CUUGCGUUCCCCAGCGACACAGGCCUCGAGGCUGUCUCUGACAAGUGUUCACAGGAGGUGGGGACGCCUCUGCGCGAGGAACGAGGAGCUACGGGCCUGGGCCCGGCUAUUGCCAUGGGCAGCGGCUGCCGCAUCGAAUGCAUAUUCUUCAGCGAGUUCCACCCCACGCUGGGACCCAAGAUCACCUAUCAGGUGCCACCCGGGCUCGCGGGACUGGGCGGGGAGAGGGACGUUCUUGAGAGCUCAACCGGCUGCCUGAAGGCAGUAGUUUCCCGUGCUGCACGCAGGCAUGCUACUUCAUUCGCAGACAACUGUGAGGCUAGAGGAUAGUCAGACCCAUUCCCCCGGCUCCCAGUGUAGCAGGGAAGACAUACGUCACAUUGGCAGUGUUUGUAGGAUAUCGGGCUGGAGGGAUCCGGUUGGGGGGUUCCAAGUCCCACAGAAGGUGAAGUGGGUGACCCAUGAGUAUCCCUGAACUGAGUGAAGAGUAAAUGAUGCAUAGGAAGUUUAGAUAAGGGAGGAGAAAGUGUUCCAGGUAGAGGGAACAGCAUAUGCAGAAGCCAGGAAGGAGAUGAGAUCAUAGUGUGUGUUUGGAAACAGAAAGAAGUAAUAGGGCUGAGAGGAUGGGAGAGAGGGGAACGCUGGACAAGAGGACUUGGGCUUGGGGGGCAUGAGGAGGUCACCAUUUAUACUACACCCAGUACAGAUGUCCACUGAGGGACCCAUUGCCACUCCCCUCCCCAGGUCCCUGAAGACUUCAUCUCCCGAGAGCUGUUUGACACAGUCCAAGUGUACAUCAUCACCAAGCCAGAGCUGCAGAACAAGCUUAUCACUCUAUGGAAAAGAAGCUGAUCGGCUGUCCUGUGUGCAUCGAACACAAGAAGUACAGCCGCAAUGCCCUCCUCUUCAACCUGGGCUUCGUGUGUGAUGCCCAGGCCAAGACCUGCGCCCUCGAGCCCAUCGUUAAAAAGCUGGCUGGCUAUCUGACCACACUAGAGAGAGCAGCUUCGUGUCCAUGGAGGAGAGCAAGCAGAAGUUGGUGCCCAUCAUGACCAUCUUGCUGGAGGAGCUAAAUGCCUCAGGCCGGUGCACUCUGCCCAUUGAUGAGUCCAACACCAUCCACUUGAAGGUGAUUGAGCAGCGGCCAGACCCUCCGGUGGCCCAGGAGUAUGAUGUACCUGUCUUUACCAAAGACAAGGAGGAUUUCUUCAAUUCACAGUGGGACCUCACUACACAACAAAUCCUGCCCUACAUUGAUGGGUUCCGCCACGUCCAGAAGAUUUCAGCAGAGGCAGAUGUGGAGCUCAACCUGGUGCGCAUUGCUAUCCAGAACCUGCUGUACUAUGGCGUUGUGACACUGGUGUCCAUCCUCCAGUACUCCAAUGUAUACUGCCCAACGCCCAAGGUCCAGGACCUGGUAGAUGACAAGUCCCUGCAGGAGGCAUGUCUAUCCUACGUGACCAAGCAAGGUAGUGGUGGGCUCUGAGGGAAGCCAUCUUGGGGAGGGCAGAGCCACAUGGUGAGCUGAUCCCUGGCACCCACAGGGCACAAGAGGGCCAGUCUCCGGGAUGUGUUCCAGCUAUACUGCAGCCUGAGCCCUGGCACUACCGUGCGAGACCUCAUUGGCCGCCACCCCCAGCAGCUGCAGCACGUUGAUGAACGGAAGCUGAUCCAGUUCGGGCUUAUGAAGAACCUCAUCAGGCGACUACAGAAGUAUCCUGUGCGGGUGACUCGGGAAGAGCAGAGCCACCCUGCCCGGCUUUAUACAGGCUGCCACAGCUAUGACGAGAUCUGCUGCAAGACAGGCAUGAGCUACCAUGAGCUGGAUGAGCGGCUUGAAAAUGACCCCAACAUCAUCAUCUGCUGGAAGUGAGGCUGGUAGUGGCUGGAUGGACACAUUGCUGUGGGUAGUCCCUCCUACCAGGAGGCUUGUCAUACUGUCUAGAGGUUGACUCUUAGUUCUGUAAAUAAAGACAUCCA
RNAcentral lists this small RNA (1980 nucleotides) under Pongo abelii (Sumatran orangutan). RNAcentral describes it as "retained intron". Lineage: Eukaryota; Metazoa; Chordata; Mammalia; Primates; Hominidae. The record is from RNAcentral.